This is a long non-coding RNA of Mercenaria mercenaria, 910 nucleotides long. RefSeq lists it as uncharacterized. NCBI's taxonomy places the organism in Eukaryota, Metazoa, Mollusca, Bivalvia, Venerida, Veneridae. The record is from RefSeq and is a predicted model, not a curated record. The transcript has 3 exons.
AAUGGCGGCAGGCUCGGUCUAACGCUUGUCAUAAUACAAAGAUAGCCCAUUAGAAACGAAGGCGUAACAUCAAGUACUGGUCUGUCAAGAAGUCACAACUUUAGAAACAGCUGUCCUUUUGUCUUGUCAACGUUGUAUUUAACAUGCCUGUGUAGGUAUAAUUGGAUAUUGCAAAGGUCAAGAAGACUUUUUGAUAUUUGAAGUUUUGUAUGUGCAAGAAGACUUUUUGAUAUUUGAAGUUUUGUAUGUGCAAGGCAUGAAACAUAUAUAUCUUCUGAAUAUUUUUUUCGGUGAAAACUCAUUAAUAACAGGUUAUCUCAGUCAAGGCAUUAAUGUCCGUGACACUAUUUUUAUUGGUCUUUUGUACCAGUGCACAGAACGUCUCGUUCAGAAAUGGACAUUUUUGUUUUGCGGCUACACGCAAAAGUUAAUGAUCAUAUAAUGAUGGCAAGAUCUGCAGUGGUUAUACAUGUUCAUUUCAAAUUGCAGCAAUUGAAUCAUUAAAAUCAGUUCAGCGUUUCAAUUGUUAACCAAUUUAACGAUUAUAACAUGCAUUGUGCGAAUUACAUUAAUGCUUCAUAUAAUUGUGUUCGAUAAAUACGGUAUGGCUGUCUGGUAAAUAAACUGUAAAAAAGGAUUCAGAAGCUUCAUUUAUUUUCUGACUUACUUUUAACAAUUGUAAAUUAUACUUUAGAAACAAAAUGAUAAAAGAGACGAUUUCAAGAAAUUGUUAUUUUCUACCACGUGGAAGGUGAAGUCCCUUGGGCAACAUAAUACGGUGUCAAUAUAUCAUAACUAACGUGUUUUAAAGUUAAAAAAGGUAUUAUAACAGUGCUACCAAAUAUCACAAACUAUGGAAGGCUUUUCACACACCGUCCGAACGUUCGAACAAAUAUAACACAAACCUGAA